Non-coding RNA from Lupinus albus (white lupine), 662 nucleotides. The record is from the annotation of a GenBank genome assembly. NCBI's taxonomy places the organism in Eukaryota, Viridiplantae, Streptophyta, Magnoliopsida, Fabales, Fabaceae.
GCUUGUAGCUUUUGAAAGCUACUUCAAGGAGCCUUUAGAAAGCGAAAGUACUCUCGAUAAUCCGGUUUCCAAAUUUGUGAUUCAAUAUUUUAAUAAAUUAUAUUACAUGCCCUCAAUUAUUUGCAAUCUUGGAUAAAUUUGUAUAUAGGAAGAUGAAAAUAUGUUCAACAUGAUUUUUUAUCUUGUUUGUGCUUAUGAUAUAUGUUCAACAUGAUUCAAGGUUCACGAGGAAUUGAAUAAGUUUUAUUGAAUCACUUGGGAGUGAAGCGCAAUGUGGCUACUCCCUUAUUUUGGAUCAACAGCCAGAAAGAAGCUUAAUUUCUACUAUCUUGGGAAGAGCUUGAUGAAAACCUUUAUGUUCUCCGAUUCUCAAAUCUAAUAUUUGACCAUUAUGGACAAGGCAGUAUAUAAGAAAUGAACAGAUGAUAUUCUAAGAGGAUUUUGGCACUGAAGGACUCCACAUGUAACAUUUCUUCCUUAGAAACAUUCACACUUCCUUAUCUAUUAUAUGGAUUCUCAGCAAUUUUCCCUCAUAUACUUUCUGUAUUGGUGUUAAAGCUCUAACUUGUUAUCAUUUUUCUUCUUGAACUUUAAAGUAAAGGUUUUGUUUGUUCCUGAUUCUGUAUUGAUGAAGUUUUCUACUUACCGAACUGUGCCUUUUU